UACGUAGGUGGCGAGCGUUAUCCGGAUUUACUGGGUGUAAAGGGCGCGUAGGCGGGCUAUCAAGUCAGAUGUGAAAUCCCUCGGCUUAACUGAGGACCUGCAUUUGAAACUGGUAGUCUUGAGUAUCGGAGAGGCAGGCGGAAUUCCGUGUGUAGCGGUGAAAUGCGUAGAUAUACGGAGGAACACCAGUGGCGAAGGCGGCCUGCUGGACGACAACUGACGCUGAGGCGCGAGAGCGUGGGGAGCAAAC
RNAcentral lists this ribosomal RNA (250 nucleotides) under uncultured prokaryote. Its description in RNAcentral is "partial 16S ribosomal RNA". It matches the Rfam family "Bacterial small subunit ribosomal RNA", at positions 524 to 773 of the family's 1533-position model. The record is from RNAcentral.